Molecule: long non-coding RNA, 3021 nt
Filed under: Equus caballus (horse)
Lineage: Eukaryota; Metazoa; Chordata; Mammalia; Perissodactyla; Equidae
Description: lncRNA (ENSECAG00000046657.1)
Source: RNAcentral
AACUAAUAUAGGGUCCAUUACAUUUUAGCUAUUAUUAUUAUUAAUUAAUCCCCAAAUGUGCCUUUUCCUUUUCCUCUCAGCAUCAUUUUUUUUUAUCACACUGUUCUGUUUUAGUGUCUAGAUAGUACCUUGUAAUUAGAAAACUAAAUAUUUAUUGAAAGAAUGAAUGAUUGAAUGAGUGAAAAGCCUACACCCGCCAGUUACUUGGUGUGACAUAACCACAAUAGCUUUUCCUGACCUAUUCCAUAAAGUCUAGCAUACGGUGACAAGAACCCUCAUUUGGUUCUUUUCAUCUGCUCUUUUGUAAUGUACCUUUGUGUGUCUCUCUCUCCCUAAAGCUUCUUGAGGACAGGGAUCAUUUCUUUUACCUGUCUGUGUCCCCAGGGCCUAGCCGUAGUAAGUAACUCAAGUCUGCGGCAGUAAUGAUGAUCCCAUUGUCAAAAGUUGUCCACUAACUUGUUACUCAUUCUCGAGUUUCCCCAAGCCCUAGUGUGUAUCGCGUCCUUGUCAAUGCUAGAAGUUUGCUUCUUGUGUCAACCGCCUUUCCCAACUGACACAGAACCCUCCAGUCCCAAUAUAUCUCAAGGAACAGCAGAUGGAGGAUGAGCUUGAACAGGCUAAUUCUUCUGCUGGGUAGACUUGUGUUGAAAGAAGUAGGCUCUAGGCCCAUGCCUGAAAAUCUUUUCCUUACACCUACAGAGAUGUUGGUUUUCCAGGUGUUUGUCAUAGUGGAAUUACUCUGUAAUUUGUUCACUUGGGAGCCUGUUUUCUGUGGGACCCACAUAACUCCUCGGGUUGGUGGGGGAAGCCCUCAACUGCAGGGAAUCACCUCAACCUUAGGUUUCUCCUGUUUGAUGGCAGUUAUUCUCAUGGCUCAACACAGGUCAUUCCUUUUCCUUCCGUACAGUUCAAAAACUCAGAGACUGACCACCACUUGCUAAUAUGAUAUCAGAUUGACUUUAAAAAAAAAGGUCUCCUUAUUUAGACAUAUUCUCUUUUUUUUUAAAGAUUUUAUUUUUCCUUUUAUCUCCCCAAAGCCCCCCGGUACAUAGGUGUGUAUUUUUAGUUGUGGGUCCUUCCAGUUGUGGUAUGUGGGAUGCUGCCCCAGCAUGGCCUGAUGAGCGGUGCCGUGUCCACACUCAGGAUUCGAACUGGCGAAACCCUGGGCCGCCCAAGCAGAGCACGUGAACUUAACCAUUCAGCCAUGGGGCCAGCCCCUGGACAUAUUUUCAAACUUAGGAAAGGUUGCAAAGAAGCCUCAUAUACCCUUUCCCUAGAUUCACCUGUGGUUCACGUUUUACCCCAUUUGCUGUAGCAUUAGCACGCUCUCUGUCCCCUCUCUUUUGAACCAUAUAAGAGUAAGCGACAUGCAUCAGCACCCUUCACCCCUAAAUACUGUGUGAAUUUCCUGAACCUAGGAAUAUUCUCAACAUAACCACAGUACAUUUAUCAACUUUAUAAAUAUACAUUGGUAGUGUUUCUAUUCCAAUUUUGUUGGUUGUUCUAGUAAUGUAUUUUGUAGCAUUGUCCACACUCCCGCCUCCUGCACAACAUCCAGUCUAGGGUCUGGCUUGCAUUUAGUUGUGUUACCCUGUAGCCUCCUUUAAUCUGGAAUUAUUUCCACAGCCUUUUUUUUGUCUUUUAUGAUGUCGACAUUUUUUAAGACAGUUCCCGUUGCCUUUUUUUUUUUUUAAAUAGAACAUUCCCAGAUUGCAUUUGUUUGAUGUUUUGUUUAUGCAUUCUUGGCUGGGAUAUUGCGAAAUUAACAUUUUGUCCUUCUAAGGGUAUCACAGCUGGAGGCAUACAAUGACCUUACUGGUAAUGUAAAUUUUUCUCCUCCAUCAAGGUGUUGCUCAAUUUCUCCACUGUACAAUUUUUUUUUCUCCCUUGAAUUAAUAAGCAGUCUCUGGAAAGAUACGUUGAGACCAUACAAAUAUCUUGCUCGUUAACAUUUCCCCCUUAGAUUUAGCAUCCGUUGAUGGUUCCUGCCUGAACCCUUUCUACUCUGCUGAUAACCAAAUGAUGAUUUUCCAGCUCCAGCAGUCCCUCCACGUUUACCAGCCAACCCUUGAUGAGGAGUCUGAGAUGCUGAGAGGUUAGAUGGCUUGCUCCGGGUCACCCAGGAAGAGUGGAAGAGCUAGGAGGGAUGCACAGCCUUCAACUCCACACUCUGUGUGCCAUACCCCAUCUCUACCUCGAUCAAGAGCGACAUUCAUUUGGUUUCUUUUCCCUGUUAAGGAGUAUUAUUCAAAGCAUCAGCGGGAAAGCAUCUCAUUUUCUGCAUGACUCAUCCUCAUUCCAAGAUUAACAUGCUCCACUUUCAUUCUUUGCCUCCCACUCAAUUUCACAUCCAGCCGGAGCCCUGAGAGUCUCUGUGCCCUAUCGGACCCCCACUCCACCCUGCUCUCUCGCCUCCUCUCUCCCCUCCCCAGCUGUACAUUUACCUCCCGGCCCCAGACUGUCCCACCAUCCUCAGAUUCCACGGGUCACUUUUGUUGGCCUCUGGUUUAAGAAAAGCAUGUCUUCCUGAAAUACCACUCUGAUCUAGGUUGAAAAUAGAAUAAAGAAAUAGAGUUAAGUUGCAGCAGAUGUACAGGGACAAGUGUUUGUCUACAUGCUUCCAACAUUCCAUUAAGGUCCAAGAUUACAGCAAAAAGUGUGUAUUUCUGAACAUAUACAUUUUAUUUCAAAUUUCUCAAAAAAAAAAGUUAAGCUUUCUUCUGAUGUGCUGGAUGUUGUUAAACACAAUAGAACCAGAAAUAAAUAUGCCAUUGGCUGAGGUUUGGGGAUCUUUUUAUUGUGUCAAGAUUUUCAGUUUUUUUGGAAACAGGCUCUGAUCUGUAUAAUUUGAUCCUGCUUACAUCAAAAUGUGAGUAAAAUACUGAAAUAUUUACAGAUGGAUUGAUAUGAUGUCUGGGAUUUGCUUCAAAAUAACCCAGGAUGUGGGGGAAAGUGGGUAGGUGGAUAGAAGAAGCAAGAUUGACCGUGAAUUGGUAAAGUUUGAAGCAAAAUGAUGAGUAC